CGGCGUGCCUAAUACAUGCAAGUCGAGCGAAUGGAUUAAGAGCUUGCUCUUAUGAAGUUAGCGGCGGACGGGUGAGUAACACGUGGGUAACCUGCCCAUAAGACUGGGAUAACUCCGGGAAACCGGGGCUAAUACCGGAUAACAUUUUGAACCGCAUGGUUCGAAAUUGAAAGGCGGCUUCGGCUGUCACUUAUGGAUGGACCCGCGUCGCAUUAGCUAGUUGGUGAGGUAACGGCUCACCAAGGCAACGAUGCGUAGCCGACCUGAGAGGGUGAUCGGCCACACUGGGACUGAGACACGGCCCAGACUCCUACGGGAGGCAGCAGUAGGGAAUCUUCCGCAAUGGACGAAAGUCUGACGGAGCAACGCCGCGUGAGUGAUGAAGGCUUUCGGGUCGUAAAACUCUGUUGUUAGGGAAGAACAAGUGCUAGUUGAAUAAGCUGGCACCUUGACGGUACCU
This 460-nucleotide ribosomal RNA is filed under the name uncultured bacterium. RNAcentral describes it as "bacterial SSU rRNA". It matches the Rfam family "Bacterial small subunit ribosomal RNA", at positions 40 to 480 of the family's 1533-position model. The record is from RNAcentral.